AGCCACUCUGUCCUUAUAGCCUAAGAUUAUGUGGUUUAGGUAUAGAUGAGUAUAGGAUAGACCUGUGCAUGUUAGAAAGGCUGUGCUGGAAACAAAGAGUGCUAGGGAUGAUGCAUUGGAAACACUGGAAGACCCAAAGCUUUCAUCUGCUAGUCAGAACAUCAGAUAAACUGCAUCUCCAAGUUUGGAGCGAAGAUGAUUGACUGGGAAAU
RNAcentral lists this long non-coding RNA (212 nucleotides) under Manacus vitellinus (golden-collared manakin). Its description in RNAcentral is "lncRNA (ENSMVIG00005012253.1)". Lineage: Eukaryota; Metazoa; Chordata; Aves; Passeriformes; Pipridae. The record is from RNAcentral.